Molecule: ribosomal RNA, 492 nt
Filed under: uncultured bacterium
Lineage: Bacteria
Description: partial 16S ribosomal RNA
Rfam family: Bacterial small subunit ribosomal RNA
Source: RNAcentral
AGUGAACGCUGGCGGUAGGCCUAACACAUGCAAGUCGAACGGCAGCACAGUAAGAGCUUGCUCUUACGGGUGGCGAGUGGCGGACGGGUGAGGAAUACAUCGGAAUCUACUUUUUCGUGGGGGAUAACGUAGGGAAACUUACGCUAAUACCGCAUACGACCUACGGGGGAAAGCAUGGGAUCUUCGGACCUUGCGCGAUUGAAUGAGCCGAUGACGGGUUAGCUAGUUGGCGGGGUAAAGGCCCACCAAGUCGACGAUCCGUAGCUGGUCUGAGAGGAUGAUCAGCCACACUGGAACUGAGACACGGUCCAGACUCCUACGGGAGGCAGCAGUGGGGAAUAUUGGACAAUGGGCGCAAGCAUGAUCCAGCCAUACCGCGUGGGUGAAGAAGGCCUUCGGGUUGUAAAGCCCUUUUGUUGGGAAAGAAAAGCAGCAGGUUAAUACCCCGCUGUUCUGACGGUACCCAAAGAAUAAGCACCGGCUAACUUCGUG